Phasianus colchicus (ring-necked pheasant) is the source of this 1288-nucleotide non-coding RNA. The record is from RefSeq and is a predicted model, not a curated record. Lineage: Eukaryota; Metazoa; Chordata; Aves; Galliformes; Phasianidae.
UCAAGAGAAGAUGACUGUGCCUUUCAAAUGCUGCCAAAUCCUGGGCUUUGGUGUGCUCUGUGUGCUACCAGAAGAGAGCGUGACAUUGGAAAAUGAGGAACUCGAGAUCCCAAAGCUCCAAGGAAUGUAGUCUGUCAGAGCCAAGGGUCUUGGAAGGAAGAGUCCCCAUUGUCCCUUUCCCUUUCCUUUUCCCUUUCGCUUUCCUUUUCCCUCCGCAAGCGAAGAUGGCUGUACUCUGAAGGCAGGUGGAGGCAGGGACAAGGGUCAGGAGCCAGGACAGAAUGGUUUCUUUGUUGCUCGUUGGAAGGAAGGACUGUGUUUAGUGCAGACGGAUUUGCCAUAGUGUUUCUUACAGGGACUGACAGUGGGGUGAGAUGUGCCCUGAAGUGGGCAUGCUUGCCAGUAGGCAAAGGAGAAAUGCAAAUCAUGCCAGUAAGUCCAACAAGGGUGUCCCUGGGGACAGGGCUCCCUGCAGCACUGGGGCUGCGCUGCUGAGCUGCCAGGCUCCCACUGUCAUGCACGAGCCCCAGCUGUGCAGCAGGGCCUGACCACCUUCUCUGCCCCAUGUUCACCUACAGGGGAAGAAGGAGCGGGCGAGGAGACAGGGGCUCGCCUUCUGGAUGCAGACGAUCUGCCUCAUCCUGGUCUGCCUCCAGCUGCUACUCGUUGUCGUGCUGGGCUCUGCAGUACUGUACGCCCAGCACUAUGACCAGGAGCUCUUCUAUUGGCUCCUGCCUUGAGUGCUGCCCCAGACAACAUUUGCUUCCCUGGUGUACUUUACAAGCAGUACCCUGCGUGUGGUCUGUGAUGGGCUGCUGCCCAUCUGACCGCCCUGCUCAGUAACCCUUCCCAGCUCGGGGCUGCGCGGUGGGGCGUGGGGAGAGGGGUCUGUCCCCACGGAAGGGGCCUCUCCUGUGCUCCUGCCCCCCAGAGGUGCACAGGCACAGCUGUGGGCAGUGUGGGCAGGCAGCCGAGUGCCACCGCUUUGGACUUAUCAGUAAGUUUCUACUGUCGUCGUGAGUCGUUGCCAGCUGAACAGCACCACCUGCGACAACCCAUCAGACUGAAGAUCCACACCUGACACCGGGACGUGGCUGGAUCUACGAGUGCUUUGCUGUCUGUCUGUCCCUCUUUCCCCAUUUUCUGCCUUUUCUCUUUGCCAUCUCUUAUUUGACUCUUUGUUUACCUCUACCACUUAUUCAUUGCAAAUAGCCCAUUGGCCAGUGUUACCUCCAAUUGGUUGUUGCUGGCUGUUAAGAAAGCUCUCAAAAAAUGGAUGUGUAUUAUU